UUGGGAUACGAAUAUUUGGAGGACACUAUUCAACCCAGUAUAGAGCCCGAGAAGCUAAAAGGGAAUUCCACCAAUUCCCCAUUCUAACAAUGGGGUCCAGGGUCAGGGCACUGGCACUGUGAUAAAGGAGCAGGAAGUCAAAGCCAAGGAGAAGAGAGCUCUUGUCCCAGAGGCUGAUUUUGUUGUUCAAGAAGCAGACACACCUACAGUGGAUAACUCAGCCAGCAAAAAAUACUCUCAGAUUAGUAACGGACCAAUAAACAACACACUGAAUAAUUAUGGUCCCUACCUCAUAGGAGUGUCAAAGGAUUAAUAAGGUCAGGAGUUCCAUGGACCCUGAACACUGUGGUUGGAAACCAAUGUGAUCUGUGAACUUGGUAAAUAAUGACUUCAUUGAACCUUCCCCAAUUAACCCUUUGAAAGGACCAUCUGAUUUUUACCAGCACCACCAUUGAUACAGUUUCCUGUUGUAGAUGGAAUGACCAACUUGUCCAUAGUUCAAGAAAGUACACGUGCAUUCUCACUCUGCUCUCUGUGAACAUGUUCAAGUUUGUCGUCAGCCUUUGUCCGAGAAUGUCUAUGAAGCCAAGAGAAGAAUAAUUCUACUUGCUAGCCUACAGAGGACACACAAGCCUUCUUCUGUAGCAGUCUCCAGAUAAACACUGAUGGAUCCUUCAGGCAGAUUUUUUUUCUUCUGGUCCAUACUUUCACAUGGCCCCUUAAGGACUCUGGCUUCUAAUUCUAAAUCCUUAGCUUGAGUGAGCCCAACAUCACUGAAACACAAGUCUCUGGGUGACAGAAGAUAUAUACAUGCAGUCAGGAAAUCUGGAAGACCUGAGAUCGAUUAACCACUGCUAUCCUGCUGGAUGGACCAAAGCAGAGAUGUUCAAGAUGAAGAUAAACCUUCACACCUUGGGGGAAGUUUGUGUUGCUUGUUUUUACAUGAACCGCGCUGAAGUUUGAAUUCCACUCAAAGCUGUAGAGAGACUGUUCUGAGGACCGGGAUAAGUUUUGCAGUAACACACAGAGUGUGAUAAUAAGGUUUAUGCACGAUUGUAAAGAACGUGCUGACAGAUGGAAAAGGAGCCACCUUGGUCUGCCCAGCAUUCACUUUUAUAUAUAUUUAAAAAAUCAUACUUCACCUGACUCUGGUUCAAACAGCAGUUCUUCCUCCUGCUGUCUUCCAGGAACAGAAAUAUUUUAGAGUAUAUAGAAAAAUUCCAACCCCCAGUGGACUGAUUCGCUAAAAUUUCAAGUUCUAUGCACAUCAGAGUAUCAUAGGUCCUGUAUUACCAUUCAAGAUGUCAUGUGCAAUGAAAAACUUAUUCCCUCCAACAUGAAUCUCUGUGUAGUAAGUGCCUUAGAUAGCGAGCAAAUAAAUGCAGCAAGGAAAAAAGAUGUGAACAGAAUGAUUCCCACAAUGGAGAGGCACCUCCCCUCUGAAAAGCAAAAUGCCAGCUUAUUUGCCAAGGAUUAGUUUGCACCAAAGGAAAUUAAAAUAUGAAUGCAGAUUGUAUUAGAGAAUUCAGGUCAUCUCUAACCCUCCAUGAUGUUGUGACAUCUCACAGCAUAUUGAUUAAAGGAAAAGAGCAUCGUGAGGUAAAUUCCUUACUCUUUUUUUGUUUGUUUGUUUGUUAUUUUUGUUUUUUUUUUUGUUUUUUUUUUCCACACACACACACUGUAUUUUAUUUUUACAAGAGAUAAAUAGACUGACACCAAGCAUUGUACAUGGAUGACCACAACAAAAGCAACAAUGAUUGCAAUUACCAAACAUGAAACACACUUAUACUAUGUCAUAAUAUUGACAUUCAGUCCAGUAAUCCUCCACUGUAACAGCUCCUUUACUUUGCAGUGAAAUAAAUUCCUUACUCUUAAGAAUAAGGAAGCAAAAUGACCACCCCAUCCAAUCCCACCUCCUUGCUUCUCUAAGGUGUGGUGUCAGCUUUCUAAGGGAGAGAGAACCAGCUCCUGUUGGCUAUCUUCUCUCUCUUAGACCUUAUAACUAUGUUCUUGGAAAAACCAAUUCCAUGCUUAAAAAAAAAAAAAUAGGAAAAACAAGAAAAUUCAACCACUUUCCAUUCAUCCUUUUGACCAAAUAUACCUAUAUUUUCUAGGGCUGCCAUUACAAAAUGCCACAAACUGAGUAGCUUAAACAACAGAAAUUUCUUGUCUCAUAGCUCAGAAGGUCAGAAGUCUAAAAGCAGGAUAUUGCCAGAGUUGGUUCCUUCUGAGGGCCAUGAAAAAAGAUCUUUUCCAGGCCACUCUCCUUAGCUUGUAGAUGGCUGGCAUUUCCCUAUCUGUCUUUUCACAUCACCUUUCCUCUGUGUCCAAAUUUCCCUUUUUCAUAAGGACGUCAGUCUCAGUAGUAUUGGUUGAAGGCCCAUCCUAAUAGCUCCAUUUUCACCUCUGUAAAGACCCGAUUUCCAAAUAAGUUCACAUUCUGAGGUACUGGGGGAUUAGAACUGCAAUAUGAAUUUUGAGGACACACAGUUCAACACGUGAUGACUACUGGAUGCCAGAUUACUUCUGUAUGUGUGUGGCAGGGAGGAACCAUCCAACGACUAUUAGCUCCUGAUCUCUUUAACUCAAGUGACCUUCAGCUGUAAUCCACUUACACUGCCUAAUCAUUUGCAUGCUUUAUCUAGCCUGUACACUGUAUACACCCAUCAGGUCUAAAAAUUUAAAUUUAAAUACUCGAUCCUUUGACCACUAUCUGCUCAUACCAGUUUUCUCAUUUCUCUACUUCCUUUACGUCAUCAGUUACAACUUAUGUUAUUGUAUGGAACGUUAGUGUUUUAGUAUGGUUAAUGGUACACAGAGGAAGAUAAAUGGUGUGUGGUCAAAUACAUUUAGAAGCAUAGGGUUAAUAAAAGUAGAAAUACUUCUUUACUGAAGAAAUUUAGUACACUAACAUUUAUUCUGAAUAACCAAGAUUUGUGACAGCUUUAAACUAAUUUAUAUGAGCAAUUAAAAAAAUAGCAAUGAGGUCUAGUGAUCCACAGAACAUCAGUUUGCAAACUAGUGUAUUACAACUGUUCUUUAAUCCAGAACCCCUAUUUCACUCUUUCCCUUCAUUCUAGUUAUGUUUCUAGUUAUGUUUCUCCUCCUUAGGAUUCUUGGAUAUAUCGCUUACGCAUUUGUUUGCUAAAUAGUCUUUCCAUUUUUUAGUCUUAUUUUCAAAGCCACCAAGCAAUUCUGUGCCGUGUCUAUUACCACAUGCACACUCAUGUUCUCCAAACUUCAAUGGGCCUCCAGAACUGCAAGCAAGAAUAUCCAUGCUACAUCCUUUUCCCCCCAGAUAGAAUAUAUUUAUCACUAUUUACUGGGCCACCUGCUCACCUACCUCACUCUCAUCUCCUACAUCACAGGGAAAAAUGAUAGCACUCGUUGCCACUAGGUUGGGAUUUGCUCAGCUCACAGACUUCUCACUUUCUAUCUAUAAACAGUAAAAACAACAUGCAUGGACACAGAGCUUCUGCCACUGCCCCCCCCCAUUAUCAGUGAAAAGCCAUUCCUCCCUGAAGGCAAAUCAGUCCUCCCUGUCUUUAUCCCUACUACUCCUGACGUCUCAGGGAUCACCUCCAUCUCUUUCCCAUCUUUAUCUCCUGUAUCUUCAGUUCUACUAGUUCUUUCCCCUAGUGUACUAAACCAGAUCAAAGGGUCUUGUUUUAAUUUUGUUUUCCUUUUUUCACAACUCCCUUCUUGAGUUCUGAUUUUAUCUUCCUUUUUUUUAUUGUUGUUUUAAAUUUUUUUUGUUGUUUUUUUAAAAAAAUUUCUUGUCUUUUUAAAAAUUUUCUAUUUUUUAAUUUUUUUAUUUUUUGGUCUUUUUAUCUACCUUUUUUUUUUUUUCAGUUUAAAAAGCCAGUCUUUUUUUUUGAAUCAGCUAUACAUAUACAUAUAUCCCCAUAUCUCUUCCCUCUUGUGUCUCCCUCCCUCCCACCCUGCCUAUCCCACCCCUCUAGGUGGUCACAAAGCACCGAGCUGAUCUCCCUGUGCUAUGCAGCUGCUUCCCACUAGCUAUCGGUUUUACAUUUGUCUACCUUCUUUUUUUUUUUUAAAGAUCUACCUUCAUAAUUUCCAUGUUCUUACCGGCAAUAACUUUUCCAUCAACAUUAGAACUGUUUUCUAAAGAUGUCUCUUAUUUGCCAUAUUCACUGGGCACAGAGAAGAAAGUGUGGAUCUUGGGUUUACAGUCUAGGAUUUCAGUUCUAUUUUUAGCUUCUUAGCGUUGUGAUCACUGAUGGUUUUUUUAGACUUCUUCAGCUUCGGUUUUUCCUUCUUUUAAGGGGCAAUGUUAAUUUCAUCUGAGCAGGAUCUCUGGAAUAAUAAAUUAGAUAUUAUAUGAAAGGCUUCCAAAAAAGAAUGAAAUAAUGUCAUUUGCAGCAACAUGGAUGCAACUAGAGAUUAUCAUACUAAGUGAAGUAAGUCAGAAAGAGAAAGACAAAUACCAUAUGAUAUCACUUAUAUGUGGAGUCUAAAAUAUGGCACAAAGGAACAUAUCUACAAAACAGAAACAGACUCACAGACAUAGAGAACAGACUUGUGUUUGCCAAGGGAGAGGGGGGUGGGAGAGGGACAGAGUGGGAGUUUGGGGUUAGUAGAUGCAAACUAUUACAUUUAGAAUGGAUAAACAACAAGGUCCUACUGUAUAGCACAGGGAACUAUAUUCAAUCUCCUGGGAUAAACCAUAAUGGAAAGGAAUAUUAAAAAGGAAUGUAUAUAUGUGUAUAACUGAGUCACAUUGUUGCACAGCAGAAAUUAGCACAACAUUGUAAAUCAAUUAUAAUUCAAUAAAAAAAGAAAUUAAAAAAACCCACCACAACUACAACGACCACCAACACAAAGGCUUCCAGGAGGCAGGCAGUAAUGGUUAACUCCUUCCAGGCGACCCCCUCUCCCUAAUCCCAUGACACUGUUCUUUAUUGUCUCAUUGAAAUUCUCUCUCCCUGUUCAUGGAGUAGCAUCACCUCUUGAGUCUCUUCUUAGUGCUUUGGUUUCUCUAACCUCUCUCCAUUCCUUCCCACGUAGUGUGGAUAUCUGUCAGAUUUUUUCUCCCUUGAGUUUUCUUUCCUUCUUAAUCUACAUUUUCACAGUUUCAACUACUAUUUUCUAAGGAUUCACUUAAAAAAAAAAAAAAGAGUUUGCAACCUGAGCAAUUUGUCUAACUCCAAACUAGUAUAUCUUAAGUAUUUACUGAGCAUCUCCCCUUAAAUGUCCCAUAGGAAAUUCAAAUAUAAAAUGUGCAACACCGAAUCCAUUGUCUGUGUGCACCAGAAAGCUGCCCCCUUCUUGUUUCUUUGUCUCAAUAAAUGACACCACUUUUGGUAUACAUAAGAUAAUUUUAGGUGCUAUACGACCAUAGCAAUAGGUACCAUUUAAUUAGUUAAUAAAAAUAGUAUUCACUUUUCAUUUUUUAAAUUCAAAUCCUUCAAGCUACAUCAAAGAUAAAGUUUCUGUUUGGGACUUAAUAUGUCUUUAGUGUUUCUAUAGUAUUUCAGAAACUCCCAUUUUAACAAAUAGAGAUGUUUCAGAAACUUUAACAAGUCGGACUUUGAGAGAGUUGACUUUGUCAAUUUUAUGUUUAAAUUCUAUCUAUGAUAAAUUAAUCUCAUUUUACACUUAUAGCUUGGAUAUGUUUUUAAUCAAAAUGUAUGUAAAUGACAGUCAAUUUAAAGGAAGAUAUUAAAUAGUAUUACAUUACUAUACUAAUAUAGGGUAAAGCACAAAGAGGAUAUGCAAACCAUGGUGUUUGGGAAACAUAGUAUAACUUACCUUUUUCUCUCAAGACCCCCUAAUAUUGUCUUAGCUUAAUUUUCCAUAAGUUUUUACGUGAGAUACUGCAAUGAUUUUCCACUUGGAAUCCUUUACUCUUGUCUCACUUUCCUCCUAUUUACCUUCUAAGUCACUGCCAGGGUAAGUAUUGAAAAGCCUGGAUUACAACACCGUGCUUUCUGUGAUUAAGAUCCUUCAUUGAGGACUUAUUGAUUUUUUUUUCUUCUCAGCAUCCUACAGCAUUUUGGUCAGACUGCUUCCUGCACUUUACAUGUCCUUAUGCCCCAAUGUGUCUGCCUGUCUCCCAUUGGUUCUUUAGUGCUUCAGUCAGAAUUCCUGAAUAAAGAUGAUGAGAUAAAUACAUCCAUAUCUUAUUUUAUCCCAUCCCAGAUUCUCACUAAAAUGAUAAAAGAAAAACCUAAGUAGAAAAGUUUUUUGUUGUUGUUGCUGCAGAAUAAAAAUAAUUGGAAAAUAUGUAAAGGACUCAGAAAAUGACACCACCCACAGAAGUACUCCUACUGACAUAUGAACCAACUUCCUCAAGACAUAGGAUUAGCUAAACAGCUGUGAGCAAUAAACCAGUAAAAGUUUCCCAAACAGCUACUUUAAUAUCGGUUUUAAAUUGCAGAUAUGAAAAUACAUUCUUGAAAGAGGCAAUUUUGAUACUGUAAAAUGUCAAAUAAUAAUCAUAAUCUAAAACACCAGAUUAUAAGAAAAAAAAGUAAUAAAAGAAAGUAAUUUUGUUUUAAUUAUCAAGGGAUAGUGAUUAGAAACAUGUCAUUUAAAAAAUAACCUUUUUAUUUUAGAACAGUUUAUACUUACAGAAAAAUUAUAAAGAUAGUACAGAGGGUUUCCAUAGAAUGUGCAUGGAGUCCUCUAUUAUUAGCAUCUUACAUUUAUUACGUUUAAUGGUGCAUUUGUUACAAUUCAUGAACCAAUAUUGUAUAUUAUCAUUUAAGUCCCACUCUUUAUUCAGAUUUCCUUGGGCAUUCCCUAAUGUCCUUUUUUUUGGUUCCAGGAUCCCAAUCUGGUACCAUAUUGCAUUUACUUACUGUGUCUCCUUAGAAUCCUUUUGACUGAGAUAGUUUCUAUGAUUUUCCUUGUUUUUGAAGACCUUGGCAGUUUUGAGCAGUGCUGGUCAGAUUUUUUUUUUUUUUUUUUGAUGUGGACCAUUUUUAAAGUCCUUUUUAAAAUUGAAUUUGUUACAAUAUUGCUUCUGUUUUACAUUUUGGUAUUUUGGCCGUGAGACAUGUGGGAUCCUAGCUCCUCGACAAGGAUUGAACCCGCACCCCCUGCAUUGGAAGGUGAAGUGUUAACCACUGGAUCACCAAGGAAGACUCCUGGUCAGAUAUUUUGUAGAAAGUCCUUCAAAGGGAUUUGUCUGAUGUUCCUUUCAUGACUAGAUUAGGGUUCCUUUCAUGACUAGCUGAGGGCAUCACUAUGUGGGUUUUGGGGAGGAAGACCACAGAGGUAGAGUACCAUUUUCAUCACAUCAUAUCAAAGAUACAUUCUAUCCACAGGACUUAUCAUUGUUGAUGUUAACUUUGGUCAUCCGGCUAAGAUAGUGUUUGUCAGGUUUCUCCACUGUAAAGACUGUUUUUCUACCCCUCAUUCAAUACUAUAUUCUUUGAAAGGAAGUUGGAAUAUACAACCCACAGUCAAGACGUGAGGAGUUAUGGUCCACUUACUUAAGGGUGGGUAAUCUACAUAAUGUAUGCAAAUAAAAAAGUCAUUUAGGUGGUUAGGAAAAUCCCAGGAUGGAAUGCAGAAUAUGACAAAACAAUCUGACUGUAUUAAAAAUUUAGGAAACAACCUCACUAAAGGAGAUGAGAGAAAAAUGUGCUGAUCUAAGUUAACUUUGGAAAUUAAUGGAAUCUGUAAAGCUAAAGUCAAAAACAGUACAUAAUUACUGUAAUUUAGUUGAUAAUGUUGCUUUCCUACAGGGUUAUUAGUUUAAAAUUAUCAUACUGCUAUACAUGUAUACAGGAAUUGAACAAUUAAGUAAAUGGAUGGUAAAUGGUGAGAGCCAGGUGGGAAGUGAGAAUUUACAGGUAAGAAUGUUUUAAUGGAUUAGAGUUGAGGGCAUCACUAUGUACUCACGUUUACCUUAAUAUACACAGAUAAUAGCAUAUAGAAAUAUUUACAGAGAGGUGCACAUACACUGUUUAGUAUACACAUAUAUAUUUCCUUGUUCUGUCAGCUGCGAUAGUCUGGAAGCAGCAAUGUCCCAGUAUCAACAAGUAUAUCUGGUACCCAGGUCUUAGUUCCUCAGUUUUAUUUUUCAAUAAAAGAAUGUAGAGUUCCUUGGAGAAAUGGCUGAUUCGUGGACUGGGGAAGGAAAUAUAAAAGAUGAGCCUGAAGUAUUUUGCAGUGCCAGAGGUAAGGAAAUGCUAAGAAAAAAAUAUUUUAAACCCUAUUAUGAUGGGACCAUGUCAAAGGACACAAGAGAUAUUAAAAGAACUCCCAGUGGCCAAAGUUGUAACAAUGUGAGCAAAGAAAAUAAUGUUGGACUAUAAAAUAAAUAUCUGUGAGUACACAUGGGUAUAAAUAAUUUUUUUAAUAAAUAAAUGGGGAGAAGAGACAAGUCUCCUAUACAGAAGAAUUCCAAAUAAGAUAUGUGUGAUUUUGGCAUUUGUAAUUUUGUGAAAGAAAAGUCCAAUGUUUUUUUCUCAAAUAUUUUAAAGUUAACCUGGGGGAAAAUAUAUGAUGAAAACAAGAUUUCCAAAUUCCAAAUCAGUAUUAAAAAAUAACAAAAAAGUAGAUCAUAGGCAGCAAAAAAGAAUACUCAUAAAAGAAAUUUAAAAUGAAGGACAAAAGAUCAAAUUCAAUAUUCAUUUUAUUUUCCCAUAUCAAAAAUAUUAAUUCACUAGUUCUUUGAUUGAGCUCAGAGAAGUUUAUAUUGAAAAAUUGUCCAGGCUAUUACAAAGUAUAUUGGACGUUGUGAGCUACUGACAUUGAGAAAAUUUUGACAAAGAUAAUGAAGACAAAGAGAUAAUGCACUUAUGUUGCAUUAGGAAAUAAAAGGAAUGCAGCCUCAAAUAUGGAGAACAUUAAAGAUAAUUUAAAAUUCUAUCUAUUUUUGAAAGUAUCAAUGAAAUAGAAAAUUUUCCAGAAAAGAAUUUAUUAUAAAAAUUGAUAUUUUAUGAAGAAGCUUAAAAAUAAUCUCAUAAACAUUAAUGAAAUAGAAAAUAUUAUCUAAGAAAUAAUUACCAAAAGAUUAUUCUUACCAAUAAUUUUAUGUUGAGUUCUUUGAAACCAGUUUUAAACUAUUUCUUAUUACAGUAGUUGUUGAAAAGCUUCCCAAUUUCAAUUAUAAACCAAGAAAAAUUCUCUAUCAAAACAUGAGAAAAAUAAGUCAAUUAAUAAAAAAGACUAAAGAUAUUUAGAACCAUCACUGCAAUAUAUUAGCAAAUCAAAUGUAGCUGGUUAUUAAAAGAUAACACACUGUGACCAAAUAGGUUUUUAUUCCAGGAAUGCACUAACAAUUCAAUAUUAGGAAGCCAAGUAAUAAUUCAUAACAAUAAUUGAUCAAUGGAGAAGAAAGAAAAAAAUUAUCUUGAUAGGUGUUGAAAAGGCAUUUAAAAAUAAUUCAACAUCAAUUAUUGAUCAACAAAUGUUAGUCAACUAGCAAUAGGAGAUAAGAAUAAAUCCCCAAGGUGAUGAAGGCUAUCUAUUUCAAACAACAUUAUAGCUAAUUGUAGCUAUAAUGUAACAUUAUAGCUAAUUGUAAAAAAAAUAGAAUCUUUCUAUUUUGUCUUGAAUAAGACAAAGAUCAUUAUUACAGUUUGUUUAAUUUUUAAAAAGUUGUUUAUUGAUGUAUAUUUUAUAAACAAUAAAAUUCACUCUUUUAAGUGUUUAGUUUGUUUAGUUACAUAAUCAUCAGAAUAGUAAAAAAAAAGGAGUAUUUUCUUCACUACAUAUGUUUUCUCUUGUCUGUUUCUCUCACUCUGCUCCCAGACCUGAUGACUACUCUUCUACUGUAUGUCCCUGUAUAUUUAUCAUUUCCAAAUUCCCUGUAAAUGGAAUCAUAUAGUAUAUAUCUUCUUUACAUAAUGCACAAUGCUUUUAAAAUUCAUCCAUGUUGUCCAUCCAUAUAUCACUAGUUCAUUUUUAUUGCUUAAUAGUAUUCUACUAUAUGUAUGUAUUACAAAUUAUUUGUUCAUAUGUAAAUGAUGCAUAUUUGGGUUAUUCUACUGUUUGGUUACUAUAAAUAAAACUGCUUUAGACAUUUGCAUACAUGUCCAUAAGUGAACAUAGGUUUUCAGUUCUCUCUGCUAAAUAUCCAUAAGUAGGAUUGCUGGAUUUUGUUUUAUUUUAUCUCUCUAUCUCUGUCUCUGUCUCUCUAUCUCUAUAUCUGUAUCUUUAUGAAAAAUUGCCAAACUAUUUUCUAGAGUGGUGUACUAUUUUACCUUUCACAAGCAAUAUAUGAGGAGUUCUAGUUUUCCACAUCAUCAUCAACACUUAGCAUUGUCAGUCAUUUUAGUUUUACUAUUUCAGUGGGAGGUAGUGAUAUCUCAUUGCAUUUUUAAUUUGCACUUCCACAGUGACUAAUGAUGAUGAGCUCUUUUCCUGUGCAUAUUUGCCCUCUGUGAUUUUCUGUUUUCACAAUUAUCCUAAUUGUGAAUAAAUAUAGUUAUUUUUUCCCUUACUGUAUCUUUAUCUUAAAAUCUUGACAUCAGGUAGUGAGAAUUAUCUUUUUCUUCUCAUUGAAUUUCUGCACAAAUUUUAGAAUCACCUCAAUUUCUAAAAACAAAACAAAACAAAAACAAACCUGAUGUAACUUGAAUUGAGAUUGCAUUGAAUCUAUUGAUCAAUUUGGCAAGAACUUACAUAUUAACAAUAUUUAGUCUUUGGACCAUGAACAGUGUAUUUUUUCAUUUAUUUAGGUCUUUAAUUUUUGUCAGUAAUGUUUUAUAGUUUGUAGUGUACAGGCUUUGCACAUAUUUUGUUAAAUUUAUCCCUAAGUAAAUAAUGUCUUAUGAUGCUACUAAAAAAUGUAUUCAAUUUUCUUUUUUGAUUUCCAAUUAUAGACUGUGAGUAUAAAAAAAUACAAUUGCCUUUGUUCCUAUUGACCGUGUACCAUGUGAUCUUGCUAAAGUCAGUCAUUUCUUUUUCUUUUUUUUUGUGAUAUCUUUAUUGGAGUAUAACUGCUUUACAAUGUUGUGUUAGUUUCUGUUGUACAAAAAGUGAAUCAGCAAUAAGUAUACAUAUAUCUCCAUACCCCCUCCCUCUUAAGCCUCCCUCCCAUCCUCCCUAUC
Balaenoptera acutorostrata (minke whale) is the source of this 11030-nucleotide long non-coding RNA. RefSeq lists it as uncharacterized. The transcript is spliced from 9 exons. NCBI's taxonomy places the organism in Eukaryota, Metazoa, Chordata, Mammalia, Artiodactyla, Balaenopteridae. The record is from RefSeq and is a predicted model, not a curated record.